UUGGGAAUAGCUCAGUCGGUAGAGCAUGUGAUUCUUAAUCUCAGGAUCGUGGGUUCACAUUGGGCAAAAUAUUCCCGCACUGAA
Podarcis lilfordi (Lilford's wall lizard) is the source of this 84-nucleotide non-coding RNA. NCBI's taxonomy places the organism in Eukaryota, Metazoa, Chordata, Lepidosauria, Squamata, Lacertidae. The record is from the annotation of a GenBank genome assembly.